Molecule: ribosomal RNA, 393 nt
Filed under: uncultured bacterium
Lineage: Bacteria
Description: partial 16S ribosomal RNA
Rfam family: Bacterial small subunit ribosomal RNA
Source: RNAcentral
AUACGUAGGGAGCAAGCGUUGUCCGGAAUUACUGGGCGUAAAGGGCGCGUAGGCGGGUAUUUAAGUCAGGUGUGCAAACUCCGAGCUCAACUUGGAGAUUGCACUUGCAACUGGGUUUCUUGAGAGUGCAAGAGGCGGAUGGCAUUCAUGGGGUAGCGGUGAAAUGCUUAGAUAUCAUGAAGAACUCCGAUUGCGAAGGCAGUCCGCUGGGGCACGUCUGACGCUGAUGCUCGAAGGUGCGGGAAUCAAACAGGAUUAGAUACCCUGGUAGUCCGCACGGUAAACGAUGAUUACCCGCUGUCGGCGGCAGACAGUCGGCGGCCAAGCGAAAGCGAUAAGUAAUCCACCUGGGGAGUACGCCGGCAACGGUGAAACUCAAAUGAAUUGGCGGGG